Molecule: small RNA, 79 nt
Filed under: Sinorhizobium meliloti 2011
Lineage: Bacteria; Pseudomonadati; Pseudomonadota; Alphaproteobacteria; Hyphomicrobiales; Rhizobiaceae
Description: putative ncRNA
Source: RNAcentral
CCGGAUCGACUUCGGCGUGACCUCGACCAGUUCGUCGUCCUGGAUCCAUGACAGCGCCCGGUCGAGCGUCAUGCGGAUC